This 84-nucleotide transfer RNA is filed under the name Mollicutes bacterium. RNAcentral's name for it is "tRNA-Leu". It matches the Rfam family "tRNA". From Rfam's summary of the family: Transfer RNA (tRNA) molecules are approximately 80 nucleotides in length. Their secondary structure includes four short double-helical elements and three loops (D, anti-codon, and T loops). Further hydrogen bonds mediate the characteristic L-shaped molecular structure. tRNAs have two regions of fundamental functional importance: the anti-codon, which is responsible for specific mRNA codon recognition, and the 3' end, to which the tRNAs corresponding amino acid is attached (by aminoacyl-tRNA synthetases). tRNAs cope with the degeneracy of the genetic code in two manners: having more than one tRNA (with a specific anti-codon) for a particular amino acid; and 'wobble' base-pairing, i.e. permitting non-standard base-pairing at the 3rd anti-codon position. RNAcentral also lists the same sequence under 2 other names. Lineage: Bacteria; Bacillati; Mycoplasmatota; Mollicutes. The record is from RNAcentral.
GCGGACGUGGCGGAAUUGGUAGACGCGCACGUUUGAGGGGCGUGUGGGCUUCCCAUGAGGGUUCGAUUCCCUCCGUCCGCACCA